Molecule: long non-coding RNA, 965 nt
Filed under: Sus scrofa (pig)
Lineage: Eukaryota; Metazoa; Chordata; Mammalia; Artiodactyla; Suidae
Description: lncRNA (ENSSSCG00050002234.1)
Source: RNAcentral
GGGAAGGCGGCCGCGCCACUAUGAGUGCGCAUGUGCGGUGUCUCCUGGCAGUCUUAGCUUUCGGUCCCCACCUGGCGGUCAGGAAGGCGGCGUGGGAGGUUCGGGGAGCGUGAGCAGCUUUGGCUAGGGUAGUUGGGGGAAGCUGAGGACCAGAGAAGCAAGGGAAGAUGUUGUCGUUUUCUGAGAACAGAUUACCAGGUUAGGAAAUAGGCUCUGAGAAGGAAAAGGAAUUGCCUCGGGUCCCGUGAUGACUCCAUAGUUGAGUUGGGAUUUGAACAUCUAAGUUUCAACCUCGGACACUCAGAAGUAACAGACUUUGAACGACGCCUUGAAAAGGUCCAUUUCUUCAUGUGUCAAAUGAGAGGUGGUGUCCCUUGUGUAAGGGGUCCUUAGGCGAAGUCAGUGGAAUGGCACAUGCAGAAUUCUGGUGCACUGACUCGUGAAAUAUCUGUUGAUUGGUAAUGACCACCCCACUGGAGAGCAGAAGGAUCACCGGUUGGAAGGCAGUUGCCCUGCAAGGGCUGUAAACAUCCUGCCCUCCUAGCUUCAUCCAGUCUCUGAAGAAAACAAAUCUGGGCAUUGGCUAGGAGCUGGAGGAGCCUGAGCUGUCUCUGUUUUCAAGGCAUGUGAUUCUGAGCUCAGACAAUCUUCUAGAACCAGCUUCAGUAUUGAUUCGAAAAGGAGAAACCUGAGAUGCGAAAGGUCUUCCAUGGCCACAGGGAAGGUGAUAGAGCAGCCUGCUUUUGAGCUCCCCAUGACGCUCACCCACUCCUGCCUCCUCUGGAACUAGGAAAUCUGUGAAGUUGGAAAGAGCAUUUGAUUUUGAGCCCCGGAUUCCAGACUCUUCCCUGACGCUGACUCACCAAUGACCGUGAGAGAAUCAGGCAACCCUGCUGGGCCUCAGUUUCCUCAUCUGUAAAAUAAGGUGAGAGUCCCGUCUGCUUGGGGCAAGACAGGUGAUUAAA